Molecule: ribosomal RNA, 253 nt
Filed under: uncultured bacterium
Lineage: Bacteria
Description: partial 16S ribosomal RNA
Rfam family: Bacterial small subunit ribosomal RNA
Source: RNAcentral
UACGAAGGGGGCUAGCGUUGCUCGGAAUCACUGGGCGUAAAGGGUGCGUAGGCGGGUCUUUAAGUCAGGGGUGAAAUCCUGGAGCUCAACUCCAGAACUGCCUUUGAUACUGAAGAUCUUGAGUUCGGGAGAGGUGAGUGGAACUGCGAGUGUAGAGGUGAAAUUCGUAGAUAUUCGCAAGAACACCAGUGGCGAAGGCGGCUCUCUGGACCGACACUGACGCUGAGGCGCGAAAGCGUGGGGAGCAAACAGG